GACAGAGGUGCCGAGCGUUAGGCGGAAUCACUGGGCUUAAAGCGUGUGUAGGCGGGCCCGUAAGUGUCUUGUGAAAUCCCACGGCUCAACCGUGGAACUGCUGGGCAUACUGCGGGUCUUGAGCGGCCUAGGGGCAGACGGAACAAGUGGUGGAGCGGUGAAAUGCGUAGAUAUCACUUGGAACGCCGACGGUGAAAACAGUCUGCUGGGGGCCUGCUGACGCUGAGACACGAAAGCCAGGGGAGCGAACGGG
This 253-nucleotide ribosomal RNA is filed under the name uncultured bacterium. RNAcentral describes it as "partial 16S ribosomal RNA". It matches the Rfam family "Bacterial small subunit ribosomal RNA", at positions 524 to 776 of the family's 1533-position model. The record is from RNAcentral.